GGUCGCCUCACCGCGAGUACUGGUCCGGCUGGACCUUUCCUUCUGGGGAAUCUCAUGGCCUUCACUGGCUGUGGGGGGAACCAGGACUUUUACUGUGAAAAAAUUAGAGUGUUCAAAGCAGGCCUUUGCUCGAAUACAUUAGCAUGGAAUAAUAGAAUAGGACGUGCGGUUCUAUUUUGUUGGUUUCUAGGACCGCCGUAAUGAUUAAUAGGGAUAGUCGGGGGCGUCAGUAUUCAGCUGUCAGAGGUGAAAUUCUUGGAUUUGCUGAAGACUAACUACUGCGAAAGCAUUCGCCAAGGAUGUUUUCAUUAAUCAGGGAACGAAAGUUAGGGGAUCGAAGACGAUCAGAUACCGUCGUAGUCUUAACCAUAAACUAUGCCGACUAGGGAUCGGACGGUGUUUCUAUUAUGACCCGUUCGGCACCUUACGAGAAAUCAAAGUUUUUGGGUUCUGGGGGGAGUAUGGUCGCAAGGCUGAAACUUAAAGAAAUUGACGGA
RNAcentral lists this ribosomal RNA (497 nucleotides) under Trichocomaceae sp. RNAcentral describes it as "SSU rRNA". It matches the Rfam family "Eukaryotic small subunit ribosomal RNA", at positions 659 to 1160 of the family's 1831-position model. Lineage: Eukaryota; Fungi; Ascomycota; Eurotiomycetes; Eurotiales; Trichocomaceae. The record is from RNAcentral.